RNAcentral lists this ribosomal RNA (329 nucleotides) under uncultured eukaryote. RNAcentral describes it as "partial 18S ribosomal RNA". It matches the Rfam family "Eukaryotic small subunit ribosomal RNA", at positions 1470 to 1796 of the family's 1831-position model. The record is from RNAcentral.
CCCUUAGAUGUUCUGGGCCGCACGCGCGCUACACUGAUGCGUUCAACGAGUAUACAACCUUGAUCGAUAGGUCUGGGUAAUCUUGUGAAUGCGCAUCGUGCUAGGGAUAGAUUGUUGCAAUUUUCAAUCUUGAACGAGGAAUUCCUAGUAAACGCAAGUCAUCAGCUUGCAUUGAUUACGUCCCUGCCCUUUGUACACACCGCCCGUCGCACCUACCGAUUGAAUGGUCCGGUGAAAUCUUCGGAUUGAGACUUUGAUUUCUUCACGGAAAACGCUGUUUUAAAAAGUUGAUUAAACCUUACCAUUUAGAGGAAGGUGAAGUCGUAACA